CAAUGGGUUAUCGCCUGNUCCANCCAUCCCGCGUGAUGGANGACGGCCCUAUGGGUUGUAAACUUCUUUUGUACGGGGAUAAACCUACUCUCGUGANANUAGCUGAAGGUACCGUACGAAUAAGCACCGGCUAACUCCGUGCCAGCAGCCGCGGGUAAUA
RNAcentral lists this ribosomal RNA (160 nucleotides) under uncultured Bacteroidota bacterium. RNAcentral describes it as "uncultured Bacteroidetes bacterium partial 16S ribosomal RNA". It matches the Rfam family "Bacterial small subunit ribosomal RNA", at positions 369 to 525 of the family's 1533-position model. The record is from RNAcentral. Lineage: Bacteria; Pseudomonadati; Bacteroidota.